RNAcentral lists this ribosomal RNA (253 nucleotides) under uncultured prokaryote. RNAcentral describes it as "partial 16S ribosomal RNA". It matches the Rfam family "Bacterial small subunit ribosomal RNA", at positions 525 to 777 of the family's 1533-position model. The record is from RNAcentral.
ACGUAGGGUGCGAGCGUUGUCCGGAUUUAUUGGGCGUAAAGAGCUCGUAGGCGGUUUGUCGCGUCGGCCGUGAAAUCUCCACGCUUAACGUGGAGCGUGCGGUCGAUACGGGCAGACUUGAGUUCGGUAGGGGAGACUGGAAUUCCUGGUGUAGCGGUGAAAUGCGCAGAUAUCAGGAGGAACACCGGUGGCGAAGGCGGCAUCCUGGACCAAUACUGACGCUGAGGAGCGAAAGCCAGGGGAGCAAACGGGA